GAAGUAAGUCAAAUUGUAUAUUCCCGAAAAUAAAAGAUCUAGAAUAAAUUUACUCUAAGGUUAAAUUACUUAUACUGUAGCAUUAGUAUAAAAAAAAUAAUUUCUAGUGGCGAAAGGCCUUCAAUUUUAUUUAUAGCUGGAUAAAUAUAAAAUAAAUUUAGUUUAUAUUAUAAAUACAAUGUUAUAAGAUAUUGUAUUUUAAAAUUGCCAUAUAUUUGAAGAUGUCAUAUACUAAUCCUUCUUGAUAAAUAACCUUAGUAUAAUAAAUCUAUAUUUUUAAAUUUUUUCCUAGUAUUUUAUUUUAAACAUCUUAAUUUUAAAGUAAAUAAUGUACAAAUCAGUAUAUAUUAUAAAUUUAGUUGAAGGAACUCGGCAAAUAGCUUGUACGACUGUUUAUCAAAAACAUAGCCAAUAGGUAAUUAAUUAUUGGUGUGACCUGCCCAGUGAAUCAUUAACGGCCGCAGUACCUUGACUGUGCAAAGGUAGCAUAAUCAUUUGGCUUUUAAUUGGAGUCUGGCAUGAACGGAAAAACGUAUAAAAACUGUCUUCACUCAUAAGUUAAUCAAAAUUACUAAUUAGGUGAAAAUUCCUAAAUAAAAAAAAUAGACGAGAAGACCCUUAGAAUUUUAAUAAGAACCAAAAUUAUUAAUGGGGCAAUUUUUGUUGGGGCAACAUUUUUUCAUAAAAUAAAAGAUUCUUUAAAAUAUAUAUAACGAAAAAUAUAAUCAAGUAAAAAUUACCUAAGGGAUAACAGCAUAAUUUUUUAAAAAGAUUGUGACCUCGAUGUUGGAUUAGGAACUAAUAAGGCUAGUCGUUUUAUUAUAAUAGGUUCUGUUCGAACUUUAUUUCCUA
Molecule: ribosomal RNA, 852 nt
Filed under: Montenegrina minuscula
Lineage: Eukaryota; Metazoa; Mollusca; Gastropoda; Stylommatophora; Clausiliidae
Description: partial 16S ribosomal RNA
Rfam family: Archaeal large subunit ribosomal RNA (bases 346-593)
Source: RNAcentral